UGGGGAAUUUUGGACAAUGGGCGAAAGCCUGAUCCAGCAAUGCCGCGUGUGUGAAGAAGGCCUUCGGGUUGUAAAGCACUUUUGUCCGGAAAGAAAUCCUUGGCUCUAAUACAGUCGGGGGAUGACGGUACCGGAAGAAUAAGCACCGGCUAACUACGUGCCAGCAGCCGCGGUAAUACGUAGGGUGCAAGCGUUAAUCGGAAUUACUGGGCGUAAAGCGUGCGCAGGCGGUUUGCUAAGACCGAUGUGAAAUCCCCGGGCUCAACCUGGGAACUGCAUUGGUGACUGGCAGGCUAGAGUAUGGCAGAGGGGGGUAGAAUUCCACGUGUAGCAGUGAAUGCGUAGGAGAUGUGAGGAAUACCGAUGGCGAAGGCCAGGCCCCCAUGGGCCAAUACUGACGCUCAUGCACGAAAAGCGUGGGGGAGCAAACAGGAUUAGAUACCCUGGUAGUCCACGCCCUAAACGAUGUCAACUAGUUGUUGGGGAUUCAUUUCCUUAGUAACGUAGCUAACGCGUGAAGUUGACCGCCUGGGGAGUACGGUCGCAAGGCUAAAACUCAAAUGAAUUGACGGGGUCAUAGCUGUUUCCU
This 589-nucleotide ribosomal RNA is filed under the name uncultured bacterium. Its description in RNAcentral is "partial 16S ribosomal RNA". It matches the Rfam family "Bacterial small subunit ribosomal RNA", at positions 355 to 1375 of the family's 1533-position model. The record is from RNAcentral.